This is an unclassified non-coding RNA of Lingula anatina, 1670 nucleotides long. Lineage: Eukaryota; Metazoa; Brachiopoda; Lingulata; Lingulida; Lingulidae. The record is from RefSeq and is a predicted model, not a curated record.
CAUGCACUGUACAUGAAAGCGCAAGGGUAAUCCAAAGUUUGUCUAAUGUCACUGUACAGCAGAGAUAGAGUGUAGCAGUGAGGUGAUGUUUGGCCUGAAAUCGAGUUUAAUUGUUGAUUUUAAGGCAAUUUUAUCUCUUUGAUAAGCUGCAGAUAUGGUUUUUAUCGCUCAUCACCUGCAGUAGUGAAAUUAGAGGCACAUGUACCACGAUUACAGCAGGUGCAUGAUGGCCUAAUGGUUUUGAAGGUAAGAUUUAGCAUUCUGCACCAAAUUGAACUCUUCCACAAAAUAUAAAGUUCCUGGCAUUUUCUGGACUGGUGAAGUUGAUCGUAUCUGUUGAAUGUCCCGGACAUUAUUUUAAAGAAAAACAGGAACUCAAAGUUAGGAAUACAAGAUUUGCAGUUCGAAUAAAGGAGGGCGCUGUUGUCGACUGAUAAAAGGCUUUCCUGAUAAAAGUCAUACUCGGUCAACGUGCGCCCACAUCCACCUCCAACCAUACCGAGCGUAGAAAAUAAUAGAAAAAAGAUGGAUCCAAGAGGAACUCCGCCAAACAAUGGGGAUGCUGCUCUCAAUCAAGACGAACAUGGAAGUCUAGAAGCCCCAGUGCAUGAUCCAAGAGAAACUCCGCCAAAAAAUGGGGAUGCUGCUCUCAAUCAAGACGAACAUGGACGUUUAGAAGCCCCAGUGCAUGAUCCAAGAGAAACUCCAAACAAUGAGGACGCUGCUGCUGAAGAAAAAGACAAAUUAAAGUCUUUGUGGCCAUUUUGGAAACGUUCAAAACCUGAUCCAAGAGAAACUCCAAACAAUGAGGACGCUGCUGCUGAAGAAGAAGGCAAAUUAAAGUCUUUGUGGCUAUUUGGGAAACGUUCAAAACCUGACCCAAAAUAUCUAUGCAUGAAUAGGCAUAAGCAUGAAAGAUAUCAAGAAGUUGUACAAUGUGAUUUAGACAAUCGGAAGGAAUGUAAAAUGGGACACGUACACCCAAACCAGGAAGAGGUCGUAGCAUGUGAAGAAAUUAUUGGAAGAGCUACCUUGGUGUCCGGGGUACAUGGAAUAUAUGCUGUUAAUCUGCUUUGGCCUGGUAGUUGUGAGAGGACUUUGAAUCAUCCGCCGUGCGCUAUUGUUGAUAUUACAGAAGAAGUAAAUUCAACGAGCCAAGUGUGAAGUAGGUUUGGCGUAUGGUUACCCAUUGGUGCAUGUUUUCAAAAAGGGAAAGUCUGUGUAUAGUAACUACAUUUCAUCGAAGAAACUCUUUUAUAAAUAUACUAUAUACUAUUAUAUCAGUGAAUUUUGUUAACAGUUAUUUUAGCAAAAUUUUAAAAAUAAAACAAACGUGAAAGUAAAACAAAGACUGAUGUCAUUUUGAGUCAAUACAUAUAUUUGAGCAUUAAUGAAAACUCGGAAACAUUAGGCAGUUUUUUUUUUCAGUAACUUGUUUCUCAACCUCCGCCGACCUCAAAAUGGCCAACAAAAGAAAGAAAAAUAAAAUUGAAACCAAAAAUAUUUUUAUUUCUUUAAGGGCAUCCGACUGAUCAUACCUGAUCAUACUGUUCAAGCGGAAUAAAAUAAACACGAAAACUCGGAGUGAAUCUUCCGUGUGUAUCAAUGGCCACACUCACAAGAGUGCAGCUGAGGCUUUAGAAUGUGACAAAAGGUCUUCAUCGAAAUGC